Molecule: ribosomal RNA, 407 nt
Filed under: uncultured bacterium
Lineage: Bacteria
Description: bacterial SSU rRNA
Rfam family: Bacterial small subunit ribosomal RNA
Source: RNAcentral
ACGAGAAUAUUCGACAAUGGGCGAAAGCCUGAUCGAGCGACGCCGCGUGGAGGAUGAAGUUCUUCGGAAUGUAAACUCCUUUUGCCGGGGAAAAAGUUAUUGAUUGUACCCGGAGAAUAAGAAGUUGCUAAACUCGUGCCAGCAGCAGCGGUAAUACGAGUGCUUCGAGCGUUAUCCGGAAUCAUUGGGCGUAAAGGGUGUGUAGGCGGCUUUGUUAGUCCCGUGUUAAAUCUACCGGCUCAACCGGUAGGCUGCAUAGGAAACGGCAGAGCUUGAGGAUGGUAGGGGUCUCUGGAACUCAUGGUGUAGCGGUGAAAUGCGUUGAUAUCAUGGGGAACACCGAAAGCGAAGGCAAGAGACUGGGCCACUCCUGACGCUGAAACACGAAAGCGUGGGUCGCGAAUGGG